ACUCCUACGGGAGGCAGCAGUGGGAAUAUUGCACAAUGGGAAGCCAUCGAUGCAGCCAUGCCGCGCUGUGUGAAGAAGGCCAAUUCGGGCUUUGGUUAAAGACACUUUUCAGUAGGGAGGAAGGUAGUGUAGUUUAACACCUGCAUUAUUUUGACGUUACCUACAGAAGAAGCACCGGCUAACUCCGUGCCAGCAGCCGCGGUAAUACGGAGGGUGCGAGCGUUAAUCGGAAUUACUGGGCGUAAAGCGCAUGCAGGCGGCCUGUUAAGUCAGAUGUG
RNAcentral lists this ribosomal RNA (278 nucleotides) under uncultured bacterium. Its description in RNAcentral is "partial 16S ribosomal RNA". It matches the Rfam family "Bacterial small subunit ribosomal RNA", at positions 335 to 596 of the family's 1533-position model. The record is from RNAcentral.